ACUUGUCUGCCGUUCGAACAACAAGAACGAACUCUACGUAAUGCCGGGAUACCCGUGGCAGCGAUAGCUGUUUGCCUGUUCGAAAACUUUUUGGGAGGUGUGAGAUGCGGC
Molecule: small RNA, 111 nt
Filed under: Pseudomonas paraeruginosa PA7
Lineage: Bacteria; Pseudomonadati; Pseudomonadota; Gammaproteobacteria; Pseudomonadales; Pseudomonadaceae
Also listed under: 1 other name
Description: Pseudomonas aeruginosa PA7 RhlA 5' UTR ROSE like thermometer
Rfam family: RhlA 5' UTR ROSE like thermometer
Source: Rfam by way of RNAcentral